AAACAAAUUCAACAUCCAAGAAACCAAGGACUCGAGGCCCCACACGAUGCUUUGAUGUAUGGAAAAUGCAUGAAGGUCAACGGAUUUCUAUUUCCGUCAACGAUCUAGGGCAACCCGUUUGUGACAAUGCUAGUACGCUGACAAAUUUCAUAGGGACAAUAGCACACAAUGGGGAAUAUGUUCCCCUUACAUUUAAUGAUUGGAGGGCGGUGCCGAAUGCGAAGAAAGAUGAUAUGUGGGGGCUUGUCACGUCCAAGUUUGAGUUUGACGGUAAUGCUAAGGCUUGGGUGCUGAAGUCAAUUGGUAAAAAAAUGGAGGGAAUGGAAGGGCGAGCUAAAGAAACUCCACUACUCUUCUCAUGAGACUAAUGAGGAGUGACUCGCAGAUCUUGAUGAGCGGGUCCAAGAGGAUCAAUGGAAGACUCUCGUUCAGUUUUGAAACUCUGAAGAGGGGACGGCUCGUUCUAAAACAAAUAUAGAGAAUAGGAAGAAACAAUUGAUUAACCACGCGGUAGGCACGAAGAGUUUUGCGCGAAUACGUGAAGAAGAGUAUUCGGUGUUGCAGCUAGUUCUAACAUGAACCAACCGUCCUCAUCAUCAAGCCAUUGGGUGACCUCUCGGAAACACUCGAUGAAUAAUGGGAAGACCACGAGUUGCACUAGUGCCAGGGAUGUGACUGGAGUUAGUCUUACAAGUAUCACGAAACCCGAGGUUACUAUUACUAAAGGAGUUGUUUUGAGCAAGGAUCCACUCACAAAAGUAGGGGGGCAUGAACUUGGAAUUGGUUUCUGGGAAGUAUUAAUUCAUGUGUUAAUAGUACGGGAUGAGGUUUUGAUAAGACCUUAUGGACGAUAUAAAACAAUUGGGGAUGCUAUUAGAACGAGUAUUGUUUGGCCCUCUAUUUUGUGUAAGGUUUAAGGAGAGAUGGAUUGAGCUAAAUGAAAGGACCUCUCUCUCUCUUUUGUAAAUAUUUUAUAUUUUGUGCAUGGGUUCAGGAUUGAUGUGUGAUUGGUUUUGGAUAGAAAGUGUUUGACUCUAAUUUUGCAAUUUGGAUUGACUUAAGAUCCAAUGCAUAUGAUAGGUUGGGUUACUAAAUCAACAAGUUAGCCAACAUGAUUUACUCUUGUUCUUAUCAAUUUUCUUUAUAACUCAAUGCAACUCUUGUUCUUUC
Molecule: RNA transcript, 1170 nt
Organism: Magnolia sinica
Lineage: Eukaryota; Viridiplantae; Streptophyta; Magnoliopsida; Magnoliales; Magnoliaceae
Exons: 7
Source: RefSeq, a predicted model, not a curated record